ACCCAAAUUUUGAACGUCUUACGU
This 24-nucleotide non-coding RNA is filed under the name Arabidopsis thaliana (thale cress). The record is from RNAcentral. Lineage: Eukaryota; Viridiplantae; Streptophyta; Magnoliopsida; Brassicales; Brassicaceae.